GAUGAACGCUGGCGGCGUGCCUUAUACAUGCAAGUCGAGUGGGUUUAGACCCACGGCCAACGGGUGAGUAACACGUAGGUCCUUUCCUUGUCACAGGAAUAACCCUCCGAAAGGAGGGCUAAUACCUGAUGUGAUCGCAAGAUUAAAGGGUAUCCGCAAGGAUUACCGGACAAGAAGAGGCCUGCGGCCUAUCAGCUAGUUGGCGGGGUAAAUGCCCACCAAGGCUAUGACGGGUAGCUGGUCUUAUGAGGAUGAUCAGUCACAGGGGCACUGAGACACGGGCCAAACUCCUGGGGGAGGAGGCAGGAGGAAAUUUGGGGAAGGGGGCAAAAGCCGGAGGCAGCGACGCCGCGGGCGGGAGGAAGGCCUGGGGGUAAAAAACCGUUUUUAUAAGGGACGAAUUUGGAGGUUACAUUAUAAAUAAGAUGUGGAUAACUCUGUG
RNAcentral lists this ribosomal RNA (442 nucleotides) under uncultured bacterium. RNAcentral's name for it is "partial 16S ribosomal RNA". It matches the Rfam family "Bacterial small subunit ribosomal RNA", at positions 28 to 507 of the family's 1533-position model. The record is from RNAcentral.